This 294-nucleotide unclassified non-coding RNA is filed under the name Hevea brasiliensis (rubber tree). Lineage: Eukaryota; Viridiplantae; Streptophyta; Magnoliopsida; Malpighiales; Euphorbiaceae. The record is from RNAcentral.
GGAGUGAUCGCCGGCGUUGUGCUCAUCGAUGAAUCGCAGGUUGUCUUUGAAGAUCUGGAAGCGGCGCUCCUUUUCGCCGAGGGCGUUGGAGGCGGCGGCGGCUCCGCCGCCGUGCUGGGCGAGCCAGCCGUCGUAGAGGAGACGGAGCUCUUCGUCGGUGCGGGCGAGGCCGCGGGAGGGGUGCGUCUCGCCGUAGGAGAUGAUGGACAUGUCCGGCGAGGCGGCGGAGAGGGCGGCGGCGGCUAAGAAGGUGAGGAGGAGGAGGAGAGAGGGGGCGGCCAUGGUGGGUGAGAA